GUUAGCGUGGCAGAGUCAGGUUAUGCAAAAGGUCUAAGCCCUUUGAACAGGGGUUCAACUCCUCUCUCUAACU
RNAcentral lists this transfer RNA (73 nucleotides) under Physiculus japonicus (Japanese codling). RNAcentral's name for it is "tRNA-Leu". It matches the Rfam family "tRNA". From Rfam's summary of the family: Transfer RNA (tRNA) molecules are approximately 80 nucleotides in length. Their secondary structure includes four short double-helical elements and three loops (D, anti-codon, and T loops). The record is from RNAcentral. RNAcentral also lists the same sequence under 3 other names. Lineage: Eukaryota; Metazoa; Chordata; Actinopteri; Gadiformes; Moridae.